CUUAGCAGAUUAUAGCACUUAAGCCACUUAAAUAACUGGACAUCACAUCGGAGAUUUCCCAAAAAAGUGCAAGAAGAGUUUAAAAGAUGAAAAAAUAUUUUUUUCCAUGCUAUCUUGAACUAACUUAGAUGAUACAGUCUUUUUGGACAAUAGCAACCAUCUGGUAUAAUACAACAGUUUAAAAAUCUGAUGGCCCGAAUAAUCAACCAUUUCAGGAAAAUGUUUAUAGAAGAAUAUUUAUGAAGCUAGAUUGAUAAAAGACAAACAAUAACUGGUAAGAUGCUGGAUAUACAAAGACGAAUAAGACCCCGCACUCAAAGAGUUCCUAGCCUAAAAACAGCAGGUCCAAGAUGGAGCUGUGUGCACCGUGGCAAAACAAGACUAAUUGAGAGUUUCUGUGUGUCCAAUCAGCCAUGAUGCAUUAAGAUGACUAAACAUGAACAGCAGGAACCUGUAAGUUCAGGCUCUCACAAUCCAUCUCACCAGAGUAGACAAGUUACAGGAAAUCGAGUCUACUAAAACA
This 523-nucleotide long non-coding RNA is filed under the name Capra hircus (goat). Its description in RNAcentral is "lncRNA (ENSCHIG00000000882.1)". The record is from RNAcentral. Lineage: Eukaryota; Metazoa; Chordata; Mammalia; Artiodactyla; Bovidae.